Bufo gargarizans (Asiatic toad) is the source of this 354-nucleotide long non-coding RNA. RefSeq lists it as uncharacterized. The record is from RefSeq and is a predicted model, not a curated record. The transcript is spliced from 3 exons. NCBI's taxonomy places the organism in Eukaryota, Metazoa, Chordata, Amphibia, Anura, Bufonidae.
GUUAUUGAUCAUCUUGAAACCAAGGCUGGAGCGAAAAAGAUUUAUAACCACAGACCUUAACAGGGUUUUCCAGGAUUUGGUCCCUUUUUAACGGAUGUUGGUUCGGGACUACGACAGCCAAGAAACAGAAGAUCGUGUGGCAGUUGGCCUAUGAAAUGUGGAGGGAAAUGGGUCGCAAACACCGCCAUCUGGCCAUUAUAAAGAAAUGGUCAGACAUGAAGCGAAGACAGCCACGUUUCAUUAAAAGUAUCCGGAAUGAAAAAUGCCCAGAAUGAAGACAUGGAAGGCCAAAUUGGCCAAACUGCAAAGGGCACAUCUCCAUGAUAUGCGGGCCGUUAAUGAGCGCUUGAUGGG